RNAcentral lists this ribosomal RNA (465 nucleotides) under uncultured bacterium. RNAcentral's name for it is "partial 16S ribosomal RNA". It matches the Rfam family "Bacterial small subunit ribosomal RNA", at positions 28 to 507 of the family's 1533-position model. The record is from RNAcentral.
GACGAACGCUGGCGGCGUGCUUAACACAUGCAAGUCGAACGGAAAGGCCCUGCUUGCAGGGUACUCGAGUGGCGAACGGGUGAGUAACACGUGGGUGAUCUGCCCUGCACUUCGGGAUAAGCCUGGGAAACUGGGUCUAAUACCGGAUAGGAGCCAUUUUUAGUGUGAUGGUUGGAAAGUUUUUUCGGUGUAGGAUGAGCUCGCGGCCUAUCAGCUUGUUGGUGGGGUAAUGGCCUACCAAGGCGGCGACGGGUAGCCGGCCUGAGAGGGUGGACGGCCACAUUGGGACUGAGAUAAGGCCCAGAACCCUACGGGAGGCAGCAGUGGGGAAUAUUGCACAAUGGGCGCAAGCCUGAUGCAGCGACGCCGCGUGGGGGAUGACGGCCUUCGGGUUGGAAACUCCUUUCGCGAGGGACGAAGCUUUUUGUGACGGUACCUAGAUAAGAAGCACCGGCUAACUACGUG